CGGGUGAGUAACAUAUCGGAACGUACCGAGCAGUGGGGGAUAACUAAUCGAAAGAUUAGCUAAUACCGCAUAUCUUCUGAGGAAGAAAGCAGGGGACCUUUGGGCCUUGCGCUGUUUGAGCGGCCGAUAUCUGAUUAGCUGGUUGGUGGGGUAAAGGCCUACCAAGGCGACGAUCAGUAGCGGUCUGAGAGGAUGAUCCGCCACACUGGGACUGAGACACGGCCCAGACUCCUACGGGAGGCAGCAGUGGGGAAUUUUGGACAAUGGGGGCAACCCUGAUCCAGCCAUGCCGCGUGUCCGAAGAAAGGGCUUCGGGUUGUAAAGGACUUUUGUCCGGGAAGAAAAGCGCGAUGUUAAUACCAUUGCGUGCUGACGUACCGGAAGAAUA
Molecule: ribosomal RNA, 388 nt
Filed under: Neisseria sp. oral taxon 014
Lineage: Bacteria; Pseudomonadati; Pseudomonadota; Betaproteobacteria; Neisseriales; Neisseriaceae
Description: bacterial SSU rRNA
Rfam family: Bacterial small subunit ribosomal RNA
Source: RNAcentral